UACAGAGGUGGCAAGCGUUGUUCGGAAUUACUGGGCGUAAAGGGCGCGUAGGCGGCCUUCUAAGUCAGACGUGAAAUCCCCCGGCUUAACCUGGGAACUGCGUCUGAUACUGGGAGGCUUGAGUAUGGGAGAGGGAUGUAGAAUUCCAGGUGUAGCGGUGAAAUGCGUAGAGAUGUGGAGGAACACCGAUGGCGAAGGCAGCCCCCUGGGUCAAGAUUGACGCUCAUGCACGAAAGCGUGGGGAGCAAACAGG
RNAcentral lists this ribosomal RNA (253 nucleotides) under uncultured bacterium. RNAcentral's name for it is "partial 16S ribosomal RNA". It matches the Rfam family "Bacterial small subunit ribosomal RNA", at positions 524 to 776 of the family's 1533-position model. The record is from RNAcentral.